This 425-nucleotide ribosomal RNA is filed under the name uncultured bacterium. Its description in RNAcentral is "bacterial SSU rRNA". It matches the Rfam family "Bacterial small subunit ribosomal RNA", at positions 354 to 796 of the family's 1533-position model. The record is from RNAcentral.
GUGAGGAAUUUUGCGCAAUGGGGGCAACCCUGACGCAGCGACGCCGCGUGGAGGACGAAGUCUUUCGGGAUGUAAACUCCUGUCAGUGGGGACGAUAAUGACGGUACCCACAGAGGAAGCACCGGCUAACUCUGUGCCAGCAGCCGCGGUAAGACGGAGGGUGCAAGCGUUGUUCGGAAUUACUGGGCGUAAAGCGUAUGUAGGCGGCAAGUUAAGUUCAAUGUUAAAGCCCACGGCUCAACCGAGGAGAUGCAUUGAAUACUGGCUAGCUAGAGGGUGUUAGAGGAAGACGGAAUUCCCAGUGUAGCGGUGAAAUGCGUAGAUAUUGGGAGGAACAUCGGUAGCGAAAGCGGUCUUCUGAGACAUACCUGACGCUGAGGUACGAAAGCGUGGGGAGCAAACGGGAUUAGAAACCCCUGUAGUCC